GCCAGCAUAGCAUAGUGGUUUGAGCAUAGGAUUAUGACUCUGGAGAUCAGGGUUUGAAUCCCUGCUUGGCC
Non-coding RNA from Phrynosoma platyrhinos (Desert horned lizard), 71 nucleotides. NCBI's taxonomy places the organism in Eukaryota, Metazoa, Chordata, Lepidosauria, Squamata, Phrynosomatidae. The record is from the annotation of a GenBank genome assembly.